Molecule: unclassified non-coding RNA, 1429 nt
Filed under: Hevea brasiliensis (rubber tree)
Lineage: Eukaryota; Viridiplantae; Streptophyta; Magnoliopsida; Malpighiales; Euphorbiaceae
Source: RNAcentral
GAAACACAAUGUAACAAAAUAAAUAGUUACAAAUUGAAGAAGUUAUUUGGAUGGGAUAAAUUCCAUCAAGUUACAGAAAAAAGAAAAGACCAAACCAAUUGGAUACUAAGAUGUCUAGCUAGAGCUAAACAAAAGUUGACAAGAAACAAAACUUGAUAGCUACACAGAUUUUAACUUGCUGAAAUAAAAUAGAUAAUGCUUCACUGAUUUACGGCGUUGAGCAGUCUUCAGAUAUCAUAGCUAGGUCUCCUUACCGGCUAACAGAGGAGUGGAAGUUGCAGAGAAACCAACUCCAUUAGACUCGGGGGUGGAGCACUCAGGCGAUUUCUUGCUGAGGCCAUAUGGUGCUAAGUUCAUCACCCUUUCCUUGCGCUUCUCCAGAAAACGAGCCAAAGAUGCUUUCCUAGCUUGUGGAACCGCUGCUGUCAUUAUGGUAGUCGCCCCAACAGGUCCUAGUGAUGUCACAAUCUUUGAAGUGUCCAAUUUGACAUGGGGAGUCACUGAAAUGUUUGCAGUUUUAGACAUCUUCAUGUCAUCUUUGUUUCCAGAACUGCCAUCAGAUUGACCAAUGGGAUGGGAAGAAACGGACAUAGGGCUAGAAAGACCCGAGGCAGGCAGCAUGUUUGGGGUUUGGUUCACACAAACACCAUCUGCAGCAGCAGGUUUCGAUGCAGAUGCCUGAAGUUGAAACCUUGGCUGCACCACAUUAGGUGGAGCACAGCCAUGUCCAGCCAAAAACAUAAUAGCCUGUGCCUUCUCAGGGGAGAUAUCCUCGAAGACAUUGACCAUCCCACCAUAGAAGAUGGUCAGUUGAGCAGGUGCUGCAGAACCCUUGGAAUUAAACCAAGGUUCGGUUGUUCCAGCCACAGAGCCACGCGAUGGAAGCAUUGAAUGAGGAGCUGUAACAGGAAUUCCACCAAGAACUUGCUUCAUCUGGCCAAUACCACCAAAAUGAGUCUUGUAGGAGGGGUUGUUCAUGUUAAAUGGAAGCAUCUUAACAUCAUAUGGAAGAUGCAUUGCAUGCACAUUCUGGAGUUCACCAGGCUGACGUUUGAGACCAGCAUCGACUCCAUCUGUGGCAGAUAGAGCUUUGAAGGUGUUCUCAUCUUGAGCAGAGUUCAAGGACAUGAAAUGAGGUACACCAACCUUGCUCGACAUUGGCCAGCGAAACCCAGAGUCUUUUGAGCUUUCAACAGGUUCAUCCUUGACUACAAGUAAAGAAUCUUUGAUAUUCAAUCCCAUAAAGUCCCUCUCCAUCUCUUUGAAUUUUCAAGAAACACCCAAAAUUCAAGAUUUCAAGAGAAUAUAAAGAACCCCACGAAGCAGAUCAAACCAAAACAAAACUAGAAGAGAAAAAAUAAACCAGAAACCCAAAAGCAAAGAAAAGUGAGAAAGGAAUGAAAGAGAAAUAGUUUAUAGUACAAAAUGC